AGUGGGAUAAUUGGGUUAAAUAGUGGUUCCAUUCCAAGUUUUCUGAGGAAUCUCCAUACUGCUUUCCAUAAUGGUUGCACUAAUUUGCAGUCCCACCAGCAAU
Molecule: microRNA precursor, 103 nt
Filed under: Marmota monax (woodchuck)
Lineage: Eukaryota; Metazoa; Chordata; Mammalia; Rodentia; Sciuridae
Source: RNAcentral